CCUACGGGAGGCAGCAGUGGGGAAUAUUGGACAAUGGGGGCAACCCUGAUCCAGCCAUGCCGCGUGUGUGAAGAAGGCCCUCGGGUUGUAAAGCACUUUCAGUGAGGAAGAACGCCUGGUGGUUAAUACCCAUCAGGAAAGACAUCACUCACAGAAGAAGCACCGGCUAACUCCGUGCCAACAGCCGCGGUAAUACGGAGGGUGCGAGCGUUAAUCGGAAUUACUGGGCGUAAAGCGCGCGUAGGUGGCUUGAUAAGCCGGUUGUGAAAGCCCCGGGCUCAACCUGGGAACGGCAUCCGGAACUGUCAAGCUAGAGUGCAGGAGAGGAAGGUAGAAUUCCCGGUGUAGCGGUGAAAUGUGUAGAGAUCGGGAGGAAUACCAGUGGCGAAGGCGGCCUUCUGGACUGACACUGACACUGAGGUGCGAAAGCGUGGGUAGCAAACAGGAUUAGAUACCCUUGUAGUC
Molecule: ribosomal RNA, 465 nt
Filed under: Vreelandella stevensii
Lineage: Bacteria; Pseudomonadati; Pseudomonadota; Gammaproteobacteria; Oceanospirillales; Halomonadaceae
Description: partial 16S ribosomal RNA
Rfam family: Bacterial small subunit ribosomal RNA
Source: RNAcentral